UCUCCGUAGGUGAACCUGCGGAAGGAUCAUUAUUGUAUAACCGAGGUGCGAGGGUUGUCGCUGACCCGAAAGGUCGUGCACGCCCGAGUGCCCUCACACACAUCCAUCUCACCCCUAUGUGCACCACCGCGUGGGUCCCCCUUUGGCUUGUUCGGAGGGGGGCUUACGUUUUCACACAAACUUUGUAUGCAGUGUAGAAUGUAUCUUUUGUUUUUGCGAUCACGCAAUCAAUACAACUUUCAACAACGGAUCUCUUGGCUCUC
Molecule: unclassified non-coding RNA, 263 nt
Filed under: plant metagenome
Description: partial contains small subunit ribosomal RNA, internal transcribed spacer 1, and 5.8S ribosomal RNA
Source: RNAcentral